This 253-nucleotide ribosomal RNA is filed under the name uncultured bacterium. RNAcentral describes it as "partial 16S ribosomal RNA". It matches the Rfam family "Bacterial small subunit ribosomal RNA", at positions 524 to 776 of the family's 1533-position model. The record is from RNAcentral.
UACAGAGGGUGCGAGCGUUAAUCGGAAUUACUGGGCGUAAAGCGUGCGUAGACGGUUAUUUAAGUCGGGUGUGAAAGCCCCGGGCUCAACCUGGGAAUUGCAUUCGAGACUGAAUAGCUAGGGUACGGUAGAGGGAAGCGGAAUUUCCGGUGUAGCGGUGAAAUGCGUAGAUAUUGGGAGGAACACCGGUGGCGAAGGCGGCUACCUGGACCGGUUCUGACGCUGAUGCGCGAAAGCGUGGGUAGCAAACAGG